UCGCCCUUUUCCGGUUGAUCCUGCCGGACCCGACUGCUAUCGGAUUGAGAUUUAGCCAUGCGAGUCGAACGCUUCCCUGUUGCGGGAGGCGUGGCGUACGGCUCAGUAACACGUAGUCAACCUGCCCUGGAGACAUGGACAACCCCGGGAAACUGGGAUUAAUCCAUGAUAGGUCAUCUCAUCUGGAAGGAGAGAUGGCUUAAAGGGGUGCGAGAGCUUCUUUCUUGUAUCUGCUCCAGGAUGGGACUGCGGCCGAUCAGGCUGUUGGUGGGGUAAUGGCCCACCAAACCUGUAACCGGUACGGGCCUUGAGAGAGGGGGCCCGGAGAUGGACACUGAGAGAAGGGUCCAGGUCCUACGGGGCGCAGCAGGCGCGAAACCUUCGCAAUGCGCGAAAGCGUGACGAGGUUAAUCCGAGUGGUCCCCGCUGAGGGGAUCUUUUGUCGGCUGUAAAAAGGCCGGUGAAUAAGGGGAGGGCAAGUCUGGUGUCAGCCGCCGCGGUAAUACCAGCUCCUCGAGUGGUCGGGGCGAUUAUUGGGCCUAAAGCAUCCGUAGCCUGUUCUGUAGGUCCUCUGUUAAAUCCAACGGCUUAACCGUUGGCCCGCAGAGGAUACCGCAGGACUAGGAGGCGGGAGAGGUGGACGGUACUCCACGUGUAGGGGUAAAAUCCUUUAAUCCGUGGAAGACCACCAGUGGCGAAGGCGGUCCACCAGAACGCGCUCGACGGUGAGGGAUGAAAGCUGGGGGAGCGAACCGGAUUAGAUACCCGGGUAGUCCCAGCCGUAAACGAUGCAAGCUAGAUGAUCCGGUCGCAAAUCGCGAUCGGAGUGUCGCAGGGAAGCCGUUAAGCUUGCCGCCUGGGGAGUACGGUCGCAAGACUGAAACUUAAAGGAAUUGGCGGGGGAGCACCACAAGGGGUGAAGCCUGCGGUUCAAUUGGAGUCAACGCCAGGAAACUUACCAGGAGAGACAGCAGGUUGAGGGUCAAGCUGAAGACUUUACCUGACGAGCUGAGAGGAGGUGCAUGGCCGUCGCCAGCUCGUGCCGUGAGGCGUCCUGUUAAGUCAGGCAACGAGCGAGACCCAAAGGGCGA
Molecule: ribosomal RNA, 1091 nt
Filed under: uncultured Nitrososphaerota archaeon
Lineage: Archaea; Thermoproteati; Nitrososphaerota
Description: bacterial SSU rRNA
Rfam family: Archaeal small subunit ribosomal RNA
Source: RNAcentral